RNAcentral lists this small RNA (443 nucleotides) under Pan troglodytes (chimpanzee). RNAcentral describes it as "processed transcript". Lineage: Eukaryota; Metazoa; Chordata; Mammalia; Primates; Hominidae. The record is from RNAcentral.
ACAUGAUGCCCCUCCCUGCUCCCAGCCGCUUCGGUCAUGUGACCGCCUGGGGAGUCAGGGGCGGAAGUCGGGGUCUGACCCGCUCCAGGUCCGGGACUGCGGAUAGAAGAGAACCGCCGCCGUGAGGGAGGGGUGGAAACUGGGUGCCGGCCCUGCGCGUGCGCCGCUGGCGCGGCCCGGCUGACAGGUUAAAAGACAGAGCUGAUCAACAGAAAUAUGGAGAUAUCAUAUUUGAUUUCAGCUAUUUUAAGGGUCCGGAAUUAUGGGAAAGCAAACUGGAUGCUAAGCCAGAGCUACAGGAUUUAGAUGAAGAAUUUCGUGAAAACAACAUAGAAAUUGUGACCAGAUUUUAUUUAGCAUUUCAAAGUGUACAUAAAUAUAUUGUAGACUUAAACAGAUAUCUAGAUGAUCUCAAUGAAGGGGUUUAUAUUCAGCAAACCUUA